Molecule: ribosomal RNA, 762 nt
Filed under: uncultured bacterium
Lineage: Bacteria
Description: bacterial SSU rRNA
Rfam family: Bacterial small subunit ribosomal RNA
Source: RNAcentral
AACAGGAUUAGAUACCCUGGUAGUCCACGCCGUAAACGAUGUCGACUUGGAGGCUGUUCCCUUGAGGAGUGGCUUCCGGAGCUAACGCGUUAAGUCGACCGCCUGGGGAGUACGGCCGCAAGGUUAAAACUCAAAUGAAUUGACGGGGGCCCGCACAAGCGGUGGAGCAUGUGGUUUAAUUCGAUGCAACGCGAAGAACCUUACCUACUCUUGACAUCCAGAGAAUUUAGCAGAGAUGCUUUAGUGCCUUCGGGAACUCUGAGACAGGUGCUGCAUGGCUGUCGUCAGCUCGUGUUGUGAAAUGUUGGGUUAAGUCCCGCAACGAGCGCAACCCUUAUCCUUUGUUGCCAGCACGUAAUGGUGGGAACUCAAAGGAGACUGCCGGUGAUAAACCGGAGGAAGGUGGGGAUGACGUCAAGUCAUCAUGGCCCUUACGAGUAGGGCUACACACGUGCUACAAUGGCGCAUACAAAGAGAAGCGACCUCGCGAGAGCAAGCGGACCUCAUAAAGUGCGUCGUAGUCCGGAUUGGAGUCUGCAACUCGACUCCAUGAAGUCGGAAUCGCUAGUAAUCGUAAAUCAGUAUGUUACGGUGAAUACGUUCCCGGGCCUUGUACACACCGCCCGUCACACCAUGGGAGUGGGUUGCAAAAGAAGUAGAUAGCUUAACCUUCGGGAGGGCGUUUACCACUUUGUGAUUCAUGACUGGGGUGAAGUCGUAACAAGGUAACCGUAGGGGAACCUGCGGCUGGAUCACCUCCUU